GGCUCAGUGGUAGAGUGUGUGUUUAGCAUGCAUGAGGUCCUGGGUUCCACUCCCAG
RNAcentral lists this transfer RNA (56 nucleotides) under Camelus bactrianus (Bactrian camel). It matches the Rfam family "tRNA", at positions 9 to 63 of the family's 71-position model. Rfam says of the family: Transfer RNA (tRNA) molecules are approximately 80 nucleotides in length. Their secondary structure includes four short double-helical elements and three loops (D, anti-codon, and T loops). Further hydrogen bonds mediate the characteristic L-shaped molecular structure. tRNAs have two regions of fundamental functional importance: the anti-codon, which is responsible for specific mRNA codon recognition, and the 3' end, to which the tRNAs corresponding amino acid is attached (by aminoacyl-tRNA synthetases). tRNAs cope with the degeneracy of the genetic code in two manners: having more than one tRNA (with a specific anti-codon) for a particular amino acid; and 'wobble' base-pairing, i.e. permitting non-standard base-pairing at the 3rd anti-codon position. The record is from Rfam by way of RNAcentral. Lineage: Eukaryota; Metazoa; Chordata; Mammalia; Artiodactyla; Camelidae. RNAcentral also lists the same sequence under 2 other names.